Molecule: unclassified non-coding RNA, 226 nt
Filed under: Hevea brasiliensis (rubber tree)
Lineage: Eukaryota; Viridiplantae; Streptophyta; Magnoliopsida; Malpighiales; Euphorbiaceae
Source: RNAcentral
GGGUAUAAUCAUACCUUACACAUGACUAUACUAGGGGGUAGUUAUACCGACAUACACUCUCUCAAGAUGUCAAUAAUUAGCACGUAAUUUGGUCCCUUCAUGUCUCUUAGGAGGAUGCUAUCUUGCUAAAAUUUAGGUGGCCCUGCUACUAUAAGGUGUGAAAACUAUCUAAAGUGUCACUUUAGAGACCAUAUAUUCCCACUAAGGUAACUAGAUUACUCACUCU